GUUGUGGUUGAACUUCUUCAAAGUCAGGCACAGGCAUUAUCACUUCCACGUUUGCACAUCGUCGAUCCACAUCUACAGAUUAUAGAAGCAACGGGACAUCACAAGCACUAGGGAAAGAUGGAGGGAGUAGAGCACCUAAAACCACCAGGAGAGGGACAUCACAAUGACAGCAAGCAUCUAUAGUGAGAGAUGAGGGGAGGAGGGAAGAAGAUAGAGAGGGGAAAAGCUUACCGUCGUCGGAGCUCAUGGUGAAGACUAGCAGUGGAAGAGAGAAGACCGAAGAAGUGGAGUUGCGAGGAGAGGAGUCGUGAGGUGGAGAAAAACCGAGCCUAGAAGAAAAUUGCGGCUGCCUUCAGGGUAUCCCCUGCAGCCCCUCUAUUCUAUCUAAACCCUAAACCCUAACAGACCAAAAACUUAAAGCCCAUUAGCCCAGUCCC
RNAcentral lists this long non-coding RNA (437 nucleotides) under Sorghum bicolor (sorghum). RNAcentral's name for it is "long non-coding RNA (SBIC_LNC007095)". Lineage: Eukaryota; Viridiplantae; Streptophyta; Magnoliopsida; Poales; Poaceae. The record is from RNAcentral.